GCCUGGCUGGCUCAGUCGGAAGAGCGUGCACCUCUUGAUCUCAGGGUUGUGAGUUCGAGCCUCAUGCUGGGUG
Molecule: non-coding RNA, 73 nt
Organism: Ailuropoda melanoleuca (giant panda)
Lineage: Eukaryota; Metazoa; Chordata; Mammalia; Carnivora; Ursidae
Source: Rfam